This 836-nucleotide ribosomal RNA is filed under the name Actinomadura sp. IM-6847. RNAcentral describes it as "bacterial SSU rRNA". It matches the Rfam family "Bacterial small subunit ribosomal RNA", at positions 38 to 889 of the family's 1533-position model. Lineage: Bacteria; Bacillati; Actinomycetota; Actinomycetes; Streptosporangiales; Thermomonosporaceae. RNAcentral also lists the same sequence under 1 other name. The record is from RNAcentral.
GGCGGCGUGCUUAACACAUGCAAGUCGAGCGGAAAGGCCCCUUCGGGGGUACUCGAGCGGCGAACGGGUGAGUAACACGUGAGCAACCUGCCCCUGACUUUGGGAUAAGCCCGGGAAACUGGGUCUAAUACCGGAUAUGACCACUUCGCGCAUGUGGGGUGGUGGAAAGUUUUUCGGUUGGGGAUGGGCUCGCGGCCUAUCAGCUUGUUGGUGGGGUGAUGGCCUACCAAGGCGACGACGGGUAACCGGCCUGAGAGGGCGACCGGUCACACUGGGACUGAGACACGGCCCAGACUCCUACGGGAGGCAGCAGUGGGGAAUAUUGCGCAAUGGGCGGAAGCCUGACGCAGCGACGCCGCGUGGGGGAUGACGGCCUUCGGGUUGUAAACCUCUUUCAGCAGGGACGAAGGGUGACUGACGGUACCUGCAGAAGAAGCGCCGGCUAACUACGUGCCAGCAGCCGCGGUAAUACGUAGGGCGCAAGCGUUGUCCGGAAUUAUUGGGCGUAAAGAGCUCGUAGGCGGUUUGUCGCGUCUGUCGUGAAAGCCCACGGCUUAACCGUGGGUCUGCGGUGGAUACGGGCAGACUAGAGGCAGGUAGGGGAGAAUGGAAUUCCCGGUGUAGCGGUGAAAUGCGCAGAUAUCGGGAGGAACACCGGUGGCGAAGGCGGUUCUCUGGGCCUGUACUGACGCUGAGGAGCGAAAGCGUGGGGAGCGAACAGGAUUAGAUACCCUGGUAGUCCACGCCGUAAACGUUGGGCGCUAGGUGUGGGGUUCUUCCACGGAUUCCGCGCCGUAGCUAACGCAUUAAGCGCCCCGCCUGGGGAGUACGGCCGC